RNAcentral lists this ribosomal RNA (465 nucleotides) under Vreelandella stevensii. RNAcentral's name for it is "partial 16S ribosomal RNA". It matches the Rfam family "Bacterial small subunit ribosomal RNA", at positions 338 to 795 of the family's 1533-position model. The record is from RNAcentral. Lineage: Bacteria; Pseudomonadati; Pseudomonadota; Gammaproteobacteria; Oceanospirillales; Halomonadaceae.
CCUACGGGGGGCAGCAGUGGGGAAUAUUGGACAAUGGGGGGAACCCUGAUCCAGCCAUGCCGCGUGUGUGAAGAAGGCCCUCGGGUUGUAAAGCACUUUCAGUGAGGAAGAACGCCUGGUGGUUAAUACCCAUCAGGAAAGACAUCACUCACAGAAGAAGCACCGGCUAACUCCGUGCCAGCAGCCGCGGUAAUACGGAGGGUGCGAGCGUUAAUCGGAAUUACUGGGCGUAAAGCGCGCGUAGGUGGCUUGAUAAGCCGGUUGUGAAAGCCCCGGGCUCAACCUGGGAACGGCAUCCGGAACUGUCAAGCUAGAGUGCAGGAGAGGAAGGUAGAAUUCCCGGUGUAGCGGUGAAAUGCGUAGAGAUCGGGAGGAAUACCAGUGGCGAAGGCGGCCUUCUGGACUGACACUGACACUGAGGUGCGAAAGCGUGGGUAGCAAACAGGAUGAGAUACCCUAGUAGUC